GGCCGGUUAGCUCAGUUGGUUAGAGCGUGGUGCUAAUAACGCCAUGGUCGUGGAUUGAUCCCCAUACUGGCCA
Molecule: transfer RNA, 73 nt
Filed under: Salmo salar (Atlantic salmon)
Lineage: Eukaryota; Metazoa; Chordata; Actinopteri; Salmoniformes; Salmonidae
Rfam family: tRNA
About the family: Transfer RNA (tRNA) molecules are approximately 80 nucleotides in length. Their secondary structure includes four short double-helical elements and three loops (D, anti-codon, and T loops).
Source: Rfam by way of RNAcentral